AGAAUCAACGCUGGCGGCGUGCCUAACACAUGCAAGUCGAACGAGAAAGUGGAGCAAUCCAUGAGUACAGUGGCGCACGGGUGAGUAACACGUGACUAACCUACCCUCGAGUGGGGAAUAACCUCGGGAAACCGGGGCUAAUACCGCAUAACAUCCACGGAUCAAAUGCGUAAGCAGCUUGAGGAGGGGGUCGCGGCUGAUUAGCUAGUUGGCGGGGUAAUGGCCCACCAAGGCAGUGAUCAGUAGCCGGCCUGAGAGGGCGCACGGCCACACUGGAACUGAAACACGGUCCAGACUCCUACGGGAGGCAGCAGUGGGGAAUUUUGCGCAAUGGGGGAAACCCUGACGCAGCAACGCCGCGUGGAGGAUUAAGCCCCUUGGGGUGUAAACUCCUUUCGAUCGGGACGAUUAUGACGGUACCGGAGAAGAAGCACCGGCUAACUCUGUGCCAGCAGCCGC
This 459-nucleotide ribosomal RNA is filed under the name uncultured bacterium. RNAcentral's name for it is "SSU rRNA". It matches the Rfam family "Bacterial small subunit ribosomal RNA", at positions 26 to 518 of the family's 1533-position model. The record is from RNAcentral.